AUACGUAGGUGGCAAGCGUUGUCCGGAAUUAUUGGGCAUAAAGCGCAUGUAGGCGGUGCCUUAAGUCUGUCGUGAAACUGCGGGGCCUAACCCCGUAUGGCGAUGGAAACUGUGGCACUUGAGUGCAGGAGAGGAAAGGGGAACUCCCAGUGUAGCGGUGAAAUGCGUAGAUAUUGGGAAGAACACCGGUGGCGAAGGCGCCUUUCUGGACUGUGUCUGACGCUGAGAUGCGAAAGCCAGGGUAGCGAACGGGAUUAGAUACCCCGGUAGUCCUGGCCGUAAACGAUGGGUACUAGGUGUGGGAGGUAUCGACCCCUUCCGUGCCGGAGUUAACGCAAUAAGUACCCCGCCUGGGGAGUACGGCCGCAAGGCUUAAACUCAAAUGAAUUGACGGGG
This 396-nucleotide ribosomal RNA is filed under the name uncultured bacterium. RNAcentral describes it as "partial 16S ribosomal RNA". It matches the Rfam family "Bacterial small subunit ribosomal RNA", at positions 523 to 918 of the family's 1533-position model. The record is from RNAcentral.